Molecule: ribosomal RNA, 274 nt
Filed under: Acidobacteriota bacterium
Lineage: Bacteria; Pseudomonadati; Acidobacteriota
Description: Acidobacteria bacterium partial 23S ribosomal RNA
Rfam family: Bacterial large subunit ribosomal RNA
Source: RNAcentral
GGAGAUUUGAGAGGGGCUGUCCCUAGUACGAGAGGACCGGGAUGGACGAACCUCUGGUGUACCAGUUGUCGCGCCAGCGGCAGCGCUGGGUAGCUACGUUCGGACGGGAGAAAUGCUGAAAGCAUCUAAGCGUGAAACCCUCCUCAAGAUUAGAUCUCCCGAGCUUCGGCUCCUGAAGGCUCCUGGAAGAUGACCAGGUAAUAGGCCAGGUGUGUAAGGUCCGCGAGGAUUUGAGCUAACUGGUACUAAUCAGCCGUGAGGCUUAGCCUUUUCU